This 774-nucleotide ribosomal RNA is filed under the name uncultured Neocallimastigales. RNAcentral describes it as "partial large subunit ribosomal RNA". It matches the Rfam family "Eukaryotic large subunit ribosomal RNA", at positions 22 to 621 of the family's 3401-position model. The record is from RNAcentral. Lineage: Eukaryota; Fungi; Neocallimastigomycota; Neocallimastigomycetes; Neocallimastigales.
AUAUCAGUCAUGCAUAGCAUAUCAAUAAGCGGAGGAAAAGAAACUAACAAGGAUUCCCUUAGUAACGGCGAGUGAAGCGGGAAGAGCUCAAAUUUGAAAUCUUCAAGGUUUUACCUUGACGAAUUGUAGUUUAAAGAAGUGUUUUCUGUUGAAGUUUUGGUAAAAGUUCUUUGGAAUAGGACAUCAUAGAGGGUGAGAAUCCCGUAUUUGACCAUUACUUUCAGCUUUGUGAUACACUUUCAAAGAGUCGGAUUGUUUGGGAAUGCAGUCCAAAAUGGGUGGUAAAUUUCAUCUAAAGCUAAAUAUUGGCGAGAGACCGAUAGCGAACAAGUACCGUGAGGGAAAGAUGAAAAGAACUUUGAAAAGAGAGUUAAACAGUACGUGAAAUUGUCAAAAGGGAAGCGUUUGACACCAGUGUUGUUUUCUCGAAAAUCAAUUAAAAAGAGUUGGAUUUUGUGUUGUAUUGACUUUAUCAGCUUUCUUCACUCUUUUCCAGCUUUUUUUAAUGCACUUUUCGUUUAACAAGUCAACAUCAGUUUCUUUGUUGUAAAAAGGUCAUUGGAAGGUGGCUUUCUCUUCGGAGAAAGUGUUUAUAGCCUUUGACUCACUGCAAUCGGAGAGACUGAGGUCUGCAGCGUAGAUCCUUCGGGGUUAGAUACAUUUGUGCUAAGUUAUAGCUUUUCAUAGACAACUUGUUGACUAUGUUUAGUCUUGUAGCUUACUCGCUUAUGCUAUUUUACCUACGCUUAGGAUGUUGAACUCUAUCACACACAG